GAUGAACGCUGGCGGCGUGCCUAAUACAUGCAAGUCGAGCGAACAGACGAGGAGCUUGCUCCUCUGACGUUAGCGGCGGACGGGUGAGUAACACGUGGAUAACCUACCUAUAAGACUGGGAUAACUUCGGGAAACCGGAGCUAAUACCGGAUAAUAUAUUGAACCGCAUGGUUCAAUAGUGAAAGACGGUUUUGCUGUCACUUAUAGAUGGAUCCGCUCCGCAUUAGCUAGUUGGUAAGGUAACGGCUUACCAAGGCGACGAUGCGUAUCCGACCUGAGAGGGUGAUCGGCCACACUGGAACUGAGACACGGUCCAGACUCCUACGGGAGGCAGCAGUAGGGAAUCUUCCGCAAUGGGCGAAAGCAUGACGGAGCAACGCCGCGUGAGUGAUGAAGGUCUUCGGAUCGUAAAACUCUGUUAUUAGGGAAGAACAAAUGUGUAAGUAACUAUGCACGUCUUGACGGUACCUAAUCAGAAAGCCACGGCUAACUACGUG
RNAcentral lists this ribosomal RNA (497 nucleotides) under uncultured bacterium. RNAcentral's name for it is "partial 16S ribosomal RNA". It matches the Rfam family "Bacterial small subunit ribosomal RNA", at positions 28 to 507 of the family's 1533-position model. The record is from RNAcentral.